This 305-nucleotide ribosomal RNA is filed under the name uncultured bacterium. RNAcentral describes it as "bacterial SSU rRNA". It matches the Rfam family "Bacterial small subunit ribosomal RNA", at positions 335 to 658 of the family's 1533-position model. The record is from RNAcentral.
UGCCUACGGGACGCAGCAGUGGGGAAUAUUGCACAAUGGGGGAAACCCUGAUGCAGCGACGCCGCAUGAAGGAAGAAGUAUUUCGGUAUGUAAACUUCUAUCAGCAGGGAAGAAAGUGACGGUACCUGACUAAGAAGCCCCGGCUAACUACGUGCCAGCAGCCGCGGUAAUACGUAGGGGGCAAGCGUUAUCCGGAUUUACUGGGUGUAAAGGGGGCGCAGACGGCAGCGCAAGCCAGGAGUGAAAGCCCGGGGCCCAACCCCGGGACUGCUCUUGGAACUGCGCGGCUGGAGUGCAGGAGGGGG